GGGGCUAUACAUGCAGUCGAGCGAUGGAUUAAGAGCUUGCUCUUAUGAAGUUAGCGGCGGACGGGUGAGUAACACGUGGGUAACCUGCCCAUAAGACUGGGAUAACUCCGGGAAACCGGGGCUAAUACCGGAUAACAUUUUGAACCGCAUGGUUCGAAAUUGAAAGGCGGCUUCGGCUGUCACUUAUGGAUGGACCCGCGUCGCAUUAGCUAGUUGGUGAGGGAACGGCUCACCAAGGCCACGAUGCGUAGCCGACCUGAGAGGGUGAUCGGCCACACUGGGACUGAAACACGGCCCAAACUCCUACGGGAGGCAGCAGUAGGGAAUCUUCCGCAAUGGACGAAAGUCUGACGGAGCAACGCCGCGUGAGUGAUGAGGGCUUUCGGGUCGUAAAACUCUGUUGUUAGGGAACAACAAGUGCUAGUUGAAUAAGCUGGCACCUUGACGGUACCUAACCAGAAAGCCACGGCUAACUACGUGCCAGCAGCCG
This 490-nucleotide ribosomal RNA is filed under the name Bacillus thuringiensis. Its description in RNAcentral is "bacterial SSU rRNA". It matches the Rfam family "Bacterial small subunit ribosomal RNA", at positions 44 to 517 of the family's 1533-position model. Lineage: Bacteria; Bacillati; Bacillota; Bacilli; Caryophanales; Bacillaceae. The record is from RNAcentral.